Molecule: long non-coding RNA, 222 nt
Organism: Lacerta agilis (Sand lizard)
Lineage: Eukaryota; Metazoa; Chordata; Lepidosauria; Squamata; Lacertidae
Exons: 2
Source: RefSeq, a predicted model, not a curated record
CUCUUCUCCUCCAGUCUGCUGCACCUUCCCCGGAUCCUGCCCUCUGAGGAAACCACCUGAGGCUGCCCAAUGAAUCUGGUGACCAUCCAGGCGCUCUUGAACUUUGAGGAGGUGGCUGUGUUUUUCACGGAGGAGGAGUGGGCUCUGCUGGAUCCAGGCCAAAGAGCUCUGCACAAGGAAGUCAUGGAGGAGAAUUAUGAGAUGGUGGCCUCUCUAGGUAAG